AUUGAACGCUGGCGGCAGGCCUAACACAUGCAAGUCGAACGAGUGGCGGACGGGUGAGUAAUGUCUGGGAAACUGCCCGAUGGAGGGGGAUAACUACUGGAAACGGUAGCUAAUACCGCAUACCAUCGGAUGUGCCUAGAUGGGAUUAGCUAGUAGGUGGGGUAACGGCUCACCUAGGCGACGAUCCCUAGCUGGUCUGAGAGGAUGACCAGCCACACUGGAACUGGGACACAGACCAGACUCCUACGAGAGGCAGCAGUGGGGAGUAUUGCACAAUGAGCGCAAGCCUGAUGCAGCCAUGCCGCGUGUAUGAAGAAAGCCUUCGAGUUGUAAAGUACUUUCAGCGGGGAGGCGUUACCCGCAGAAGAAGCACCGGCUAACUCCGUGCCAGCAGCCGCGGUAAUUC
This 406-nucleotide ribosomal RNA is filed under the name uncultured bacterium. RNAcentral's name for it is "partial 16S ribosomal RNA". It matches the Rfam family "Bacterial small subunit ribosomal RNA", at positions 30 to 526 of the family's 1533-position model. The record is from RNAcentral.